AUGUGGUCCUAACUGAAAUCACCAUGGUUACCAAACAGAUAAGAUCAGAUUUAAAAGUUAGGAUCUUUCUGUAAUACACCCCCAGCUGGCCCAUAUCUAAUA
Sinocyclocheilus rhinocerous is the source of this 102-nucleotide long non-coding RNA. RefSeq lists it as uncharacterized. The record is from RefSeq and is a predicted model, not a curated record. NCBI's taxonomy places the organism in Eukaryota, Metazoa, Chordata, Actinopteri, Cypriniformes, Cyprinidae. The transcript has 3 exons.